This 792-nucleotide long non-coding RNA is filed under the name Homo sapiens (human). RNAcentral's name for it is "non-protein coding lnc-HSFY2-13:1". The record is from RNAcentral. Lineage: Eukaryota; Metazoa; Chordata; Mammalia; Primates; Hominidae.
AACUUGUCAGUAUCGCUGAACUUAGAAAAAAACCUUUGUGGGUAUUACUGAAAUAUGAAAGGGAAGGAAGUAUAUUAAAAGUCUCAAAUUGUUUGAAAUGUGACAUUACGAGGUGUUCCUUCUGGCUCCUAUAGGAUGGACACUCCACAGCUGACCUUGACUGAACUCCGGGUCCUUCUUGAGCAGAUGGGCAGCCUGCCCUGUGCCAUGCAUCAGAUUGGGGAUGUCAAGGUUCUUUCCUGGAAGUGGCGGAGAUAUGUGUUCCCAUACCAUCUCUGUGUGUACAGCAUGCAAGGAAAUAUCCUUCCAGACUGAAAUAAUUAAAAACUCUAAACUGGGCCUACAUAAGACACUGGCUCUUGGGAAUGGGGUGGAGAGGACUGAUUGGUUGGUUGGUUGAUUUCCCUCCAGACACCAGAGUCUUAGAAAGCUUACUAGAUGGAUAAGAUUGUAUUAAAGUGGGUUUGGAAAAAGAAAUUUAGGUAAUUAAAGGAGAAAAAUGUCAUUCUAGGUAAACAGAGGGCCUUUGUUAUUAUCAGAUAGAUCAUGUUUUAGGAUGUGGUUGAGAAUAAGUAUUAAGCAAUAGGAAAUGCCUAUAAGAGAAGAUGAGAAGUGGAGCAAAUCUAGGUGGUUGAGUAUUUAUGUGGCUAAAGAAUCUGCAUUUUAUCCUAUGUCCUUGCAGGAUGUCCUGGAACAGGUGGAGGCCUAUCAAGCUGAGGCUCGUGAGGCUCUGGCCACACUGCCCUCUAGUCCAGGGCUAUUGCGGUCCCUGUUGGAGAGGGGGCAGCAGCU